ACGGGUGAGUAACGCGUGGGAAACUACCCUAUGGUACGGAAUAACACAGAGAAAUUUGUGCUAAUACCGUAUGUGUCCUUCGGGAGAAAGAUUUAUCGCCAUAGGAUGUGCCCGCGUCGGAUUAGCUAGUUGGUGAGGUAAUGGCCCACCAAGGCGACGAUCCGUAGCUGGUCUGAGAGGAUGAUCAGCCACAUUGGGACUGAGACACGGCCCAAACUCCUACGGGAGGCAGCAGUGGGGAAUAUUGGACAAUGGGCGCAAGCCUGAUCCAGCCAUGCCGCGUGAGUGAUGAAGGCCUUAGGGUUGUAAAGCUCUUUCGCUCGCGAGGAUAAUGACGGUAGCGAGAGAAGAAGCCCCGGCUAACUUCGUGCCAGCAGCCGCGGUAAUACGAAGGGGGCUAGCGUUGUUCGGAAUCACUGGGCGUAAAGCGCUCGUAGGCGGAUAUUUAAGUCAGAGGUGAAAGCCUGGGGCUCAACUCCAGAACUGCCUUUGAUACUGGGUAUCUUGAGUCCGGUAGAGGUGAGUGGAACUGCUAGU
This 537-nucleotide ribosomal RNA is filed under the name uncultured bacterium. Its description in RNAcentral is "bacterial SSU rRNA". It matches the Rfam family "Bacterial small subunit ribosomal RNA", at positions 102 to 674 of the family's 1533-position model. The record is from RNAcentral.